Non-coding RNA from Myodes glareolus (Bank vole), 371 nucleotides. Lineage: Eukaryota; Metazoa; Chordata; Mammalia; Rodentia; Cricetidae. The record is from RefSeq and is a predicted model, not a curated record.
GAGGGAGGGAGAGAGAGAGUACUGGAAGAAAUGACUGGAAAAGUGGGUCAUUUCAGGAGCAAGGUAGAAACAUGGUGUAAUGGUAACUUCCUGGAAUAGACAAGGGUGAACCUACUAAGACUCCUAGCAAUGUGAUAUAUGAAAACUGAACAUGCCAUCCUCUGUAACCAGGGACCAGCAACCGAAUCCCACAGCUGAAAAAGAGGCCGGAUAUGUACUUUACAUUGGCAUAAAUAGUAUAAGAAGCCACGUCCAAGUGGGCAUCUAGAUGUCCAGGGUCUCUUGACCUUUUGAAGAUGAAUAUUUUCCUGCAAAGACAAGAAUAGAGCCCUUCCCCAGCCCUAUGAGACUUCCUUACCACCCGUAUGGUU